RNAcentral lists this small nuclear RNA (107 nucleotides) under Aotus nancymaae (Ma's night monkey). The record is from RNAcentral. Lineage: Eukaryota; Metazoa; Chordata; Mammalia; Primates; Aotidae.
GUGCUCGCUUUGGCAGCCCAUAUACUAAAAUUGGGACAUUGCAGAGAAAAAUGGCAUGGCCUCUGUGCAAGGAUGACAAGCAAAUUCAUGAAGCAUUCCAUAUCAAA